This is a long non-coding RNA of Callithrix jacchus (white-tufted-ear marmoset), 1728 nucleotides long. The record is from Ensembl. Lineage: Eukaryota; Metazoa; Chordata; Mammalia; Primates; Cebidae.
GGCUUAGAAACAUCAGAAAUUUAUUAUUCACAGUUCUGGAGGCGGGAAGUCCAAGAUCAAGGUGCCAGCAUAUUCCAUGUCUGGUAACAGCCCAUUUCCUGUAUUGCAGUCAGUCUUCUUCUCACUCUGUCCUCAAAAGCCCCUUUGAAAGAAGGGCACUAGCCUAUUCAUGGGGGUUCCACUGUGACGACCCCAUGACAUACCAAAGUCCCCACCUCCUAAUAUCGUCGCACUGGUGAUUAGGAUUUCAACACAGGAGUUUUGGGGGGAUGCAACCAUUCAGUCUACAGCAGACAGCAAGGGAGAUCCAGGGUAUGUGGAUCCUAAGAGGGAAGUUUCCCCAGCACCCAGUUCAGAUACUGAAGUCCAGUGAGCAAGUAAGAACCCUCACAAGGGCAGAUCCAGGAAAAACAGAGCAUGGAGUUUUCCCCAGAGGAUAGCCCCAGAGUCAAUGCCAGCCUGUGGAGUCAGGUGUCCUGUGGGGCUGCAUGGGGUGUGUCUCCCACUCUGUUUUGGAAUGGUGGUGUGGUGUUUGUUUCAGGGGUAAUGUGCUUGCUUGCUGGGUGGAAGAGAACAACGGCUGUCCCUCUAGGUGAUUGGUGGUAGCCUAAGAGGAGUCUUGGCCUGGGGGUCCUUUGCAUGGGCAGUGACUGGUGGGACUGUGGCUGCCCCUCUGAGGCCCAAGGGUGCUCUCUGCAUGGACAGGGGACUGUUUAGGAGGCAUGGAAGUGUCAGGCCAAGUCUUAAUGCUCCAGAGACACUUCCUUUUCCAGGAAACCUGAGCUCCCUAACAUUUUUACAUUAGGUGGAGCUGUGUCACAGGCCACAGCAAAAUCUCUCACCCUUGAUUAUUCCUUUUUCCUUUAGGCAUUGAAAUUGGAGGCCGCAUUUUUAAGGUGGUACAAAGAGGGAAAGAGUCUGGUCCCUAAAUCACUUGUUGGGUGUCCCGUGACAUGCCCUGGAUGUAAGAGUGAGAAAUAAGUGUUGCGUGGAGCUACUGAAAUUUGGUCCCUUUGUGUGUGUGGAGUGAGCCUGAGUAUACCGGUCAGUGCACUUGGCUGGGAGCUGCCAACACUGUCACAGUCUCGGCCACAGGGCAGGGACGCAGCCCGGGGACCCGCAAGUCCGAGCCUGGAGGGACAGGGGCAGUCUGCGGGCCUGUGCAGCCUGCAGGUCCAGCACGUCCUGUGUCUGAUUUCCUCGGCUGCCUCCUCACCAGCUGCCGGUCACCGUCAUCGUCUGUCAGGCACAGUCUUUCUCGCGGAGGCUAGGACGCCCGGGCCGCUGUGCGGGUGCGCGGGAUGUCAGGUGGCGGCGUUCCUCAGCGCGGAGCUGCGGGCGGAUCCCCCCUCCCAGCCCUUGGGGCCGCGCGCCCAGGCCCGGCUGUCUGCGCCUCCGUUCCCGCCUCAAAGGGGGCUGCGCGGAGCCCCUAUGCGCGCCUGGAGCCUGCGCCCGGCAACUGCGGCCUGGGAAAGCUGGGCGCUCCAGUUUCUGGUCCAGGUUUUUCCUGCUUCAAGGCUAACACUGUUCUCUAGUCCUGGAAUACCUCCUCCCCAUAAGGAACUCUGCAACCAGCACCACGCAUGUCAUCGUUUUGCCAGCCUGUCUUCCCUGCUGGGUGGAGAACCUGGGAACCCAGGGCUGUGGCUCCGGUCCGCUGCCCCGCUGCCGUGUCUGCCGUGCUGUCCUGUCGGCCCUGGAUCUUCGUUUCCUGAAUUAAUUACGUAA